This 1924-nucleotide long non-coding RNA is filed under the name Gouania willdenowi (blunt-snouted clingfish). Its description in RNAcentral is "lncRNA (ENSGWIG00000006015.1)". The record is from RNAcentral. Lineage: Eukaryota; Metazoa; Chordata; Actinopteri; Blenniiformes; Gobiesocidae.
CAACAGGUUCUGAAAAGAUUUCUUCCAUCUCGGAUCGAUCACCCGCUAACAUGUCUGAAGGAGAUCAUAGAACAGCAGAAGGAGGAAAAGAAAGAUCCUCAUCUACUGAAAGGGGCAAGUCCAGAGAAAGACCAAGCAGUGCUGGAGGGAAAACACACAGAGCUGAAAGAGAGCAGGAUCGCACCAUUGCUAAAGAUCGUGAGCGAGACAGACCUUCUCGAUCUGACAGAGCCUGAGACAGGGGAUCAGGGUCCACAGUGACAGCUGUGCAAAAGUUAGCUGACACAGCAGACAGAGAAACUGAGAGAGAAAAGUCACGGACUGAGCUUAAGACCUCCACAGGCCAGAGUGAAUCAGCAAGGUCUGUGUGUCUGGAUAGAAUGACCAUUGCAGAGAAAUCCAAAAUUUCAAAGAAACAGGACAACCAUCACGAGAAACAAAAAACCUCCUCAAAAUACAGAGGCAAGGGCACUGAGAGGUCUGCUAAGUUUGACAGGUGAGUCUCCUGCAGUCUAAAGUCUUCUUCAUAUCUGUAAUUAAUGUUAUUGUGUCAAUCAAACAAAAAUGCUUUCAACUGUAAUUGUUUUUCUGUCCCAUGUGUGUGUCCAGGAACAGAACGGAGAGAAGUGUGUCCUCAGGAGAGAAAUCUGCUUCUGCUCACAGAGAAGAAGAUCAACUCAAAAAACAAAGCCAGACUUAGAAAAAGACCAGGGCAAUGUUUCCUCCAUCACUGCAGAGCAGCCCUCAUCCAGCCCAGUCACUAGGCUCGUCUGCAACCAGAGAGUCAGUGCAGCUCCUAGUGAAGUGCGAGAGGAGGCCCUCAACCAACCACCACCCCGCUCCAAGUGGGAAAGAGAAGACGAUGAAGAUGGUUUGGAAGAUGAACCGUGUGCACCUAAAGAAGCAUUUCCAGUUGUCCCACAGACCAUUGUUAAAGAAGCACUGCUGGAAACACAGAAACCAAUGAAGAGCGAAAGCCGUGAAACUCCAAAGGAUGAACGGAGAGGAACAACAAAGGAGGAAAUAAAGGCGAGAGCGCCACGGGAAGAAAGUAAGACUGGCAGAACAACACAGGCCAACUCGGACAAAACAACCAAGACAAAAACUGGAAAGGAGAGAAAAGCCGUCAAAGAAGAAGGGCGAGCUUCUGCAAGAGAAAAUGAGAGAAAAGGUGGAGGAAGAGAAGACAACCGAGGAGCUGCAGGAAAAGAGGAGAGGAUUGCAGAAAGCCGUAGUGGAGGUGAACGAGAGGAAGUUCGAGGGCCCGAGCCCAGAAGACAACGGCUGGCCUCGGACCUCGGCCGCGAGACAGAUGAAGCAGCCUUUGUGCCCGACUACAGUGAGGGAGAGGGUUCAGAACAGGAAAGAGGAGGAAGCAACAGCCUGACGCCCACCCUGAGCCGUGCCACCCACAGCCCCACAUUAAGCAACCACAGCGGCUCCGCCAACACCACAGCAGAGAAGAAGAAAAGACACAAGAAACACAAAAAGCACAAAAAACACAGCAGUCAGGACAAAGAGGCCCCACACAAGGAGCACAAGCAGAAACACAAGAAGAAGAAGAGCAAAAAGAGCAAAGACAAGGACGUGGAUGAGGAAAAUAUAAAGGGGAAAGCUGAGAAAGAGACGCCUUGCUAACAUAGCUUAGCUCAGGCUAAAAUCCACCCAAUGAUUUUGCUGGAUCACACCCAGGGAUAGGAAAGGUUCCUCAAAGUUGGAGCAGAUAAUUUGAGAAUUGAUGCUACACUGGAUUGUAAUAUUCAGUGUUCUUAAUUCAAUUUGCCUCUUUUUAGAGUGUACUUGCUGUAAAGAAGUUUUGUUGUUUUUUUUUGGUGUUUUCUUAGUGUAAUGAAAAUAACUUGUAUUUCAGUCUAAUAUUAGAUGCUAAUGGAGGAAUAAUAAAGGAGUAAUGUUGGAAUAAUCA